Molecule: ribosomal RNA, 497 nt
Filed under: uncultured bacterium
Lineage: Bacteria
Description: partial 16S ribosomal RNA
Rfam family: Bacterial small subunit ribosomal RNA
Source: RNAcentral
GAUGAACGCUGGCGGCGUGCCUAAUACAUGCAAGUCGAGCGAACAGACGAGGAGCUUGCUCCUCUGACGUUAGCGGCGGACGGGUGAGUAACACGUGGAUAACCUACCUAUAAGACUGGGAUAACUUCGGGAAACCGGAGCUAAUACCGGAUAAUAUAUUGAACCGCAUGGUUCAAUAGUGAAAGACGGUUUUGCUGUCACUUAUAGAUGGAUCCGCGCCGCAUUAGCUAGUUGGUAAGGUAACGGCUUACCAAGGCGACGAUGCGUAGCCGACCUGAGAGGGUGAUCGGCCACACUGGAACUGAGACACGGUCCAGACUACUAAGGGAGGCAGCAGUAGGGAAUCUUCCGCAAUGGGCGAAAGCCUGACGGAGCAACGCCGCGUGAGUGAUGAAGGUCUUCGGAUCGUAAAACUCUGUUAUUAGGGAAGAACAAAUGUGUAAGUAACUAUGCACGUCUUGACGGUACCUAAUCAGAAAGCCACGGCUAACUACGUG